RNAcentral lists this ribosomal RNA (309 nucleotides) under uncultured eukaryote. Its description in RNAcentral is "partial 18S ribosomal RNA". It matches the Rfam family "Eukaryotic small subunit ribosomal RNA", at positions 1470 to 1796 of the family's 1831-position model. The record is from RNAcentral.
CCCUUAGAUGUUCUGGGCGGCCCGCGCACUACAUUGGCACUCUCAAUAAGUUCCUAGAUCUAAAACUUUGGGGUAUUCUAUUAAGUGGUGUCGUGACUGGGAUUAACCCUUGCAAUUAUUGGUUACGAACGAGGAAUUCCUUGUAAUCGCGGUUUAUCAGCCCGCGUUGAAUGCGUCCCUGCCCUUUGUACACACCGCCCGUCGCUCCUACCGAUGAAUCGUCCGGUGAAGUUCGUGGAGUGGUGGUUGUUCCAGCUGCUGUCGAAGUGAAAUGGACCUCACGAUUUAGAGGAAGGAGAAGUCGUAACA